AGUGGACGCUGGCGGUAGGCCUAACACAUGCAAGUCGAACGGCAGCACAGUAAGAGCUUGCUCUUACGGGUGGCGAGUGGCGGACGGGUGAGGAAUACAUCGGAAUCUACUUUUUCGUGGGGGAUAACGUAGGGAAACUUACGCUAAUACCGCAUACGACCUACGGGUGAAAGCAGGGGAUCUUCGGACCUUGCGCGAUUGAAUGAACCGAUGUCGGAUUAGCUAGUUGGCGGGGUAAAGGCCCACCAAGGCGACGAUCCGUAGCUGGUCUGAGAGGAUGAUCAGCCACACUGGAACUGAGACACGGUCCAGACUCCUACGGGAGGCAGCAGUGGGGAAUAUUGGACAAUGGGCGCAAGCCUGAUCCAGCCAUACCGCGUGGGUGAAGAAGGCCUUCGGGUUGUAAAGCCCUUUUGUUGGGAAAGAAAAGCAGCAGGUUAAUACCCCGCUGUUCUGACGGUACCCAAAGAAUAAGCACCGGCUAACUUCGUG
Molecule: ribosomal RNA, 492 nt
Filed under: uncultured bacterium
Lineage: Bacteria
Description: partial 16S ribosomal RNA
Rfam family: Bacterial small subunit ribosomal RNA
Source: RNAcentral